CAACUUUCAGCAACGGAUCUCUUGGCUCUCGCACCGAUGAAGAACGCAGCGAAAUGCGAUAAGUAAUGUGAAUUGCAGAAUUCAGUGAAUCAUCGAAUCUUUGAACGCACCUUGCGCUCCUUGGUAUUCCGAGGAGCAUGCCUGUUUGAGUGUCAUUA
This 158-nucleotide ribosomal RNA is filed under the name uncultured Cortinarius. RNAcentral's name for it is "5.8S ribosomal RNA". It matches the Rfam family "5.8S ribosomal RNA". From Rfam's summary of the family: 5.8S ribosomal RNA (5.8S rRNA) is a component of the large subunit of the eukaryotic ribosome. It is transcribed by RNA polymerase I as part of the 45S precursor that also contains 18S and 28S rRNA. Functionally, it is thought that 5.8S rRNA may be involved in ribosome translocation. Lineage: Eukaryota; Fungi; Basidiomycota; Agaricomycetes; Agaricales; Cortinariaceae. The record is from RNAcentral.